This is a long non-coding RNA of Sitophilus oryzae (rice weevil), 516 nucleotides long. RefSeq lists it as uncharacterized. NCBI's taxonomy places the organism in Eukaryota, Metazoa, Arthropoda, Insecta, Coleoptera, Curculionidae. The transcript is spliced from 3 exons. The record is from RefSeq and is a predicted model, not a curated record.
UUCGUUUAAAAGGACAAGAUGUUAAAGUUUAUGAUAAAAUUGUCAUCAGAAAUACUGUCCACUUGCAGUAUUUACAUAGGAAAAUGUUGGAGGAUGAAGCUCUACCUACUGCCUCAGGUUAAUUUAAAUUCUGAGUUGCAACAACAGCAACAAGCAAGAAGGGCACCGUUAAAUGAAUAUUAUACACAUAAGUAUUAUUAUACAAAGAAAGAGUAAUGUUAUACACAUAAAUAUUAACAUUUUGUAGAGCAACAACAGAAUAAAAAACCAAAAUAUGAACACCAGCAACUAAAACAGGAACCAUUAAAUGAAUAUUAUAUACAGCAAUAACAGCAUCAAAUAAUGGAAAUAAUGGACCUUAUUGCACAAAUCAAAAACAAAAUUUCAGCAUUACUACUUUAUUGGUUAUAUCAAUAAAAGAAAUUGAGUUUAUCAGUCUAGAUCCUACAAGCAAGCAGAUCUAUCACAUAAUUUUAAAUGAAGAUUUAUCUAUUAUAGUAAUUUAUUCUAAUAACG